RNAcentral lists this ribosomal RNA (376 nucleotides) under uncultured bacterium. RNAcentral describes it as "bacterial SSU rRNA". It matches the Rfam family "Bacterial small subunit ribosomal RNA", at positions 523 to 898 of the family's 1533-position model. The record is from RNAcentral.
AUACGUAGGGGGCAAGCGUUGUCCGGAAUUAUUGGGCGUAAAGCGCGCGCAGGCGGUCUUUUAAGUCAGGUGUUUAAUCCCGGGGCUCAACCCUGGUCCGCACCUGAAACUGGGAGACUUGAGUGCAGGAGAGGAGAGCGGAAUUCCACGUGUAGCGGUGAAAUGCGUAGAGAUGUGGAGGAACACCAGUGGCGAAGGCGGCUCUCUGGUCUGUAACUGACGCUGAGGCGCGAAAGCGUGGGUAGCAAACAGGAUUAGAUACCCUGGUAGUCCACGCCGUAAACGAUGAAUGCUAGGUGUCAGGGGUAUCGAUGCCCUUGGUGCCGAAGUCAACACAUUAAGCAUUCCGCCUGGGGAGUACGGUCGCAAGACUGAA